RNAcentral lists this transfer RNA (64 nucleotides) under Actinomycetota bacterium. RNAcentral describes it as "Actinobacteria bacterium tRNA-Thr". It matches the Rfam family "tRNA", at positions 5 to 66 of the family's 71-position model. Rfam says of the family: Transfer RNA (tRNA) molecules are approximately 80 nucleotides in length. Their secondary structure includes four short double-helical elements and three loops (D, anti-codon, and T loops). Further hydrogen bonds mediate the characteristic L-shaped molecular structure. tRNAs have two regions of fundamental functional importance: the anti-codon, which is responsible for specific mRNA codon recognition, and the 3' end, to which the tRNAs corresponding amino acid is attached (by aminoacyl-tRNA synthetases). tRNAs cope with the degeneracy of the genetic code in two manners: having more than one tRNA (with a specific anti-codon) for a particular amino acid; and 'wobble' base-pairing, i.e. permitting non-standard base-pairing at the 3rd anti-codon position. Lineage: Bacteria; Bacillati; Actinomycetota. The record is from RNAcentral.
CCUUAACUCAGGGGUAGAGUACCCGCCUUGUAAGCGGGUUGUCGUAGGUUCAAAUCCUACAGGA